This 146-nucleotide non-coding RNA is filed under the name Macaca mulatta (Rhesus monkey). The record is from Rfam by way of RNAcentral. Lineage: Eukaryota; Metazoa; Chordata; Mammalia; Primates; Cercopithecidae.
GCCGGGCGUGGUGGCGGGCGCCUGUAGUCCCAGCUACUUGGGAGGCUGGGGCAGGAGAAUCGCUUGAACCCAGGAGGUGGAGGUUGCAGUGAGCCGAGAUUGCACCACUGCACUCCACCCUGGGUGACACAGCGAGACUGUCUCAA